AUUUAAAAUGUUAUUUUUUUUAUUAAUUUAAUUUAUAUUUAAAAUAAAAAUAUUAUUUUUUAUUAUUAUUUAGAAAAAAUUUUUUUUAUAAUAGUUUACUAGUACUGUGAAGGGAUAAUUAAAGUAUAAAAAAGAAAAAUUUAUUUUUUGUACCUUGUGUCUCAGGGUUGAUUAAAAAUAUAAAUUAUUUGAUUUUCUCGAAUUUAAAAGAGUUAUUAUUAUAUUAUUUUAAUAGUAAAAUAAUUAUUUUUAAUAUAAUGAUGGCAAUGAAACGUUAUUCGUUUUUAAAUAUAUCUAGUUUUUCAAGAAAUGAAUUUAAUUUUGUUACUAAUAUAUUAAAAUUUUGAUUUUUAAAGGUUUUUAUUUUAGUAAAUAAUAUUCUAUGGGAUGAGCUUUAGAAUAAAUUAUUAUAAAAGUUAAUUAUUGAUUUAGUUUUUUAGGAUUAAAAGUUUCUAUUAUUGAAAUAAUGUUAUAAUUGUUCUAAGUAAAUUUAUUAUUUAUAUAUUUUUUAAAUUUUUAUUGAAAUUUAUUAUUUAAUUGUACUUUUUUAGUAAUUAUGAUUAGAUUAGUAUAAUUUGUUUUAAUUUUAAUUAAUUAUUUUAAGGUUAAAAAAAGGAAUUCGGCAAAUGAUUUUUCACCUGUUUAUUAAAAACAUGGCCUUUUGAUAAUAAUUUAAGGUCUAGCCUGCCCCCUGAGGUUUUAAAUGGCCGCGGUAUUUUGACCGUGCGAAGGUAGCAUAAUAAUUAGUUUUUUAAUUGAAAGCUGGAAUGAAUGGUUUGAUGAGAAAAUAGCUGUCUCUUUUUAAUUUUUUAGAAUUUUAUUUUUAAGUGAAAAAGCUUAAAUUUUAUUAAAAGACGAGAAGACCCUAUAGAGUUUAAUUAUUUAUAAAUUUCUUUUUUUUAGAAUUUUUAUAUUGAAUUUUAUUGAUAAUUUGGUUGGGGUGAUUGAAAAAUUUAUUUAACUUUUUUUUAAUAAAUACAUUUAUUUAUGAAUAAUUGAUCCAUAUGUUAUGAUUAUAAGAUUAAAUUACCUUAGGGAUAACAGCGUAAUUUUUCUUGAGAGUUCUUAUCGAAAGAAAAGUUUGCGACCUCGAUGUUGGAUUAAAAUAUAAUUUUGGUGCAGAAGCUGAAAUGUUGGGUCUGUUCGACCUUUAAAAUUUUACAUGAUCUGAGUUUAAACCGGCGUGAGCCAGGUUGGUUUCUAUCUUUAAUUAUCUAAAACAUUUUAGUACGAGAGGACCAAGUGUUUAAUAAAAUAUUUUUUUUUCUGAAUUUUAUU
Molecule: ribosomal RNA, 1278 nt
Filed under: Semanotus bifasciatus
Lineage: Eukaryota; Metazoa; Arthropoda; Insecta; Coleoptera; Cerambycidae
Description: 16S ribosomal RNA
Rfam family: Archaeal large subunit ribosomal RNA (bases 1037-1195)
Source: RNAcentral